CCCCUUCUGCAACUUUGCCCAUGCCGCCACCACCACUGCUGCAACAGUGCUCUUGCCCUCACCACUAAUGCUGCCCCCUCGCUGCUGCUGCUGCUGCUGCUGCUGCUGCUGCUUUGUUGUGGCAGCAGCAUGGGUGCAGCCACAGGCAAGGGUGCAGUUGUGGUGGUGGACGGCAUGGGUGGCAGCCCAUGUGGGGGAGAAGGGAC
Molecule: non-coding RNA, 206 nt
Organism: Podarcis lilfordi (Lilford's wall lizard)
Lineage: Eukaryota; Metazoa; Chordata; Lepidosauria; Squamata; Lacertidae
Source: the annotation of a GenBank genome assembly